CUGAGAGGUGAUGCGUAGCCGUAGCGGCGAAAUCCAUGAUCCUAUGCUGCCGAGAAAAGCCUCUAGCGAGCUGGUACAUGGCCCGUACCCCAAACCGACACAGGUGGUCAGGUAGAGAAUACUAAGGCGAUCGAGAGAACUGUGGUUAAGGAACUCGGCAAAAUGCCCCCGUAACUUCGGGAGAAGGGGGACCAGUCCUGGUGACGACAUUUACUGUCUGAGCUGGGGUUGGUCGCAGAGACCAGAGAGAAGCGACUGUUUACUAAAAACACAGGUCCGUGCGAAGUCGUAAGACGAUGUAUACGGACUGACGCCUCCCCGGUGCUGGAAGGUUAAGAGGACCGGUCAGCCACUUCGGUGGCGAAGCUGAGAAUUUAAGCCCCAGUAAACGGCGGUGGUAACUACAACCAUCCUAAGGUAGCGAAAUUCCUUGUCGGGUAAGUUCCGACCUGCACGAAUGGCGUAACGACUUCUCUGCUGUCUCAACCACAGACUCGGCGAAAUUGCAGUACGAGUAAAGAUGCUCGUUACGCGCGGCAGGACGAAAAGACCCCGGGACCUUCACUAUAGCUUGGUAUUGGUGUUCGGUUCGGUUUGUGUAGGAUAGGUGGGAGACUGUGAAACUCGCACGCCAGUGUGGGUGGAGUCAUUGUUGAAAUACCACUCUGACCGUAUUGGACAUCUAACCUCGGACCAUGAUCUGGUUCAGGGACAGUGCCUGGUGGGUAGUUUAACUGGGGCGGUUGCCUCCUAAAAAGUAACGGAGGCGCCCAAAGGUUCCCUCAGCCUGGUUGGCAAUCAGGUGUUGAGUGUAAGUGCACAAGGGAGCUUGACUGUGAGACGUACAUGUCGAGCAGGGACGAAAGUCGGGACUAGUGAUCCGGCACCGGCAAGUGGAAGCGGUGUCGCUCAACGGAUAAAAGGUACCCCGGGGAUAACAAGCUGAUCUUCCCCAAGAGUCCAUAUCGACGGGAUGGUUUGGCAUCUCGAUGUCGGCUCGUCGCAUCCUGGGGCUGGAGUAGGUCCCAAGGGUUGGGCUGUUCGCCCAUUAAAGCGGCACGCGAGCUGGGUUUAGAACGUCGUGAGACAGUUCGGUCUCUAUCCGCCGCGCGCGUAAGAAACUUGAGGAAACCUGUCCCUAGUACGAGAGGACCGGGACGGACGAACCUCUGGUGUGCCAGUUGUUCCACCAGGAGCACCGCUGGUUAGCUACGUUCGGAAGGGAUAACCGCUGAAAGCAUCUAAGCGGGAAGCCUGUUCCAAGAUGAGGUUUCUCACCACCUAGCGUGGUUAAGGCCCCCCACAGACCAUGGGGUUGAUAGGCCAGAACUGUAAGCACAGCAAUGUGUUCAGGUGACUGGUACUAAUCGGCCGAGGACUUUCAA
Molecule: ribosomal RNA, 1385 nt
Filed under: metagenome
Description: bacterial LSU rRNA
Rfam family: Bacterial large subunit ribosomal RNA
Source: RNAcentral